ACUAUAUGGGAGUUCCCAUUGUGGCUCAGUGAUAAUGACCCCAACUAGUAUCCAUGAAGAUGCAGGUUCAAUCCCUGGCCUCACUCAGUGGGUUAAGGAUCCUGCAUUGCUGCCAGCUAUGGUGCAGGUCACAGACAUGGCUCAGAUCUGGAGUUGCUGUGGCUGUGGUGUAGGCUGGCAGAGCAGCUCUGAUUUGACCCCUAGCCUGGGAAUUUCCAUAUGCCACAUGUGCAGCCCUAAAAAGCAAAAUAAUGAUAAUAAUAUAAUAUACCUCAUCACCUAACCCCCAAGGUGAUGGACCUUAAGGAGGUGAUAAGGUCAUGAGGGUGGAGCCCCCACAAAAUGGAGUCAGGGUCCUUAUUAAAGAGACCCUAGAGAGCUCCUUUGCCCCUUCCUCCUUGUAAGGACACAGGAGAAGACCAGGACGUGAUCAUCCUGACACCCUGAUCUCAGACUUCUGGCCUCCAGAACUGCAGGAAACACUUUUCUGUUCUUUGGGCCCCCAGCCUAGUGUUUUGUCAUGGCAGCCCAAGCAGACUAAGACAGUGUCCUUCUGGGUCUGGCUUCCCACUAAGCAUCAUGUUUUCAAGGUCCAUCCAGGUUGCAGCAAGUAUCCCUCCUUUUCAUGGCCAAGUCAUAAUCCAUUGUGUGGAUGGACUACAUUGUGGGAAUCUCUUCUCUGUUCACCUGUUGAUUGUCAUUGGGUAGUUUCCACUUUUGGCUAUUGUGAAUCAUUCUGUUAUGAACAUGCAUGUGCAAGGGUUUGUGUGAACAUGUGUUUUUCUUUCUCUUGGGUUUAUACAUAGUAGUGGAUCUGCUGAAUUAUGUGGUGACUCCAUGUUUGACAUUUUGAGGAACCGCCAGGCAGUUUUCCAAAAUGGCAAUGCCAUUUCACAUUCCCACCAGCACUGCUGAAAGUUCCCAUUUCAAUUUCUCCCCUUGUUAUUGUCUGUCUUUUUUUUUUUUUUUUUUUUUUUUUUUGCUUUUUUGCUUUUUAGGACUGUGUCCACAGCAUAUGUAUGGAGGUUCCCAGGCUAGGGAUUGAAUUGGAGCUAGAGUAUCUGGCCUACACCCCAGCCACCGCAAUGCAGGAUCCGAGCCACGGCAACACUGGAUCUUUAACCCACUGAUCGAGGCCAGGGAUCGAACCCACAACCUCAUGGUUCCUAGUCAGAUUUGUUUCCACUGUGCCAAGGCAGGAACUCCAAUUGUCUGUCUUUUUGAUUCUAGUACCUUAGUAGGAAUGAAGUGCUACGUCAUGGGGGUUCUGUCAGCCCAUCAGACCCUCACCCCUUUUAUAUUAAGUAUUUUGUAACACUCUCCUCACUUCCUGAAUUCAGGUGCAGAGAUUACGUAACUUCUCUACAGAUACAAUUAAGGUAUAAUUAUGUGGAGUUCCCCCUGUAGUACAGUGGGUUAAUGGUCCAACUUGUCUCUGUGGCAUUGCCAGUUCAAUCCCUGGCCUGGCACAGUGGGUUAAGGAUCUGGGGCUGCAGCUGUGGCAGGUUGCAGAUGCGAGGAAGAUUCAACCCCUGGCCCGGGAAAUUCCAGGUGCUAUGGUUGCGGCCAAAAAAGGGGGGAAAUGUGUAAUUAUAUAUAUGUGUGUAUCUAUGCAGUUAUAGUUACAAUAGAGAGGAUAAUUAAAGAUAAUACAUUCUAAUGAAAUAAUACAUAAUUUAACAGGUGAGUACUUGGCUUCAACUACACUAAAUUACCAGAUGUUUGCUUUUUCUUCAGUUUAGAUUUAAGAUGGGUAACAUUUGAUAUGAUUCAACCUUUAUAUUUAAUGUUUUCAAAUGAGGGCAAAGAGGCAUCUUUGUAUGUAAUUCACAUUACUGUGGUAACAAAUCCUGGUGCAUUUACUGACAAUUCAGAAACUCUGAGCCAGGAGAUUCAGCUUUCCAACAUGUCAGAGAAUUCUUAGUAAAUUUAUGAAUAACUAUGAAAGCAAGCUUUUCCAGAUUCGCAUCAUUGUUAUAUUCCCAGAAAAUUUAGCAUAUCUUAAAGACAUACAGAAAUAACUUGUAUGUGAAACAAAACAAAGUCAGAUUCUUGGCUCAGAAAAUCAUGGGCAGAUCCUUCCCAGGUGGGCGAGCAGGCACAGGGCAGCCCUCCCUGCAGGAGCCUGGCAGCUCAGGGCACCCCCGUGAUGGUUCUUUGUGCUGAUCACAAAUGCUCAAUUCCACAUGUGUGGUGUAACUGUAACCACUGAGCUUGCUCAUAUAUCUCUUUUAUUGUUACCUCAACCUGACCAGAGUUAUUGACAUAUGUGCAGCAGGUGUUAUUAAUCAGUGCACAGACUCCCCCUUGCUCAGCCAGAGGAUUGUCAAGAGCUAGCCUAUUGCCAAGAACAUUUGUGAUGAGUCCAGAGAAAUAUGGGGUUCCUGUAAGGCAUCCCCCAUGUUUUUAGACAAGUCCUCAAGGAGCCAUGUGAGGUUUUGUACAGUGACUUCAUGGUAUGCAGAACCUCCCCGGGGGACACCCAGUCCAAGAGCAAUCCCUACUCAUACCAGAAUGAGUCUAUUGCCCUUUUAUUGUGCUUAAUGCCCUUUAAACUCAGGGCUGGGUGAUGUUAUGAACAGUUAUACCCAGGUUCCUAGAACUUAGCCAGCCUAGCUGCGUUGUACACAAACUGAGCGUCCGUCAUCUAAGCAAGGGUAGGCUAGACCCGACCCCCAGAGGAGUCAGGGUUGUUCUGAUGGGCCAAGUGGUUUACCCCUGGGCUCCAAAGGAACAAGUACCCAGAGGGAGCACAUGCCUACUGCACUUCUAAGGAGUUGAACCAUCUUCGUAAGAGACCAACCCAAGAGGGGGUGUCCUUGCAGUGUGAGGAGAGAGGCCCACCUGCAUGGGGGGGGCGGUCACUGGGGGCUUCCUGACUGGUGGAUUUUCCCCAAGCCUCAGGAGAGCCAUAUACUAAAUAUCAGACAACCAGCUUCAUCCCUUCCCAAUAAGUACAUCUCCCAUCUGGUCCCUGUGUGUAUCCAUAGAGUCAGUGCAGAGGGCACCGAUGGGUGAGAUUUCCAUAGGAGUCAAUCCUGGGACACAAAAAUUGUGAGGUCAUGGAAGAAGCAUGCUCAGAGUCCAGAGAAGCUCCAGGAUGUUAUUACAGGUUUCUCACCUUGGUAGGAGCUUUUGAAGAGCAGUGGCAGUGAGAUGGGUCAGAGAGAUGGCACUUCAGUGAGUGUUUUGUCUUCAUUGGAGAUAUUAAUGCAAGGGGUGAGGUCCAAUCAGGGAAGCCACAUUAGGGAUGGGACAUGAACUUCAAAAGGGGUAAGUUUAGCAGACCUGUGAGCCACGGUGAGAGAGAGUGAGGUUGUCAUUCUUAGGGGUAAAAUGUAAUACCUUUAGUCUAAAGGCAACACUGUGUGGGUCGGGGUGAUGGACCAGCGCUGGGAUAGAUUUUGUCCAUGGGCUAUAAUCCUGGAGAAAUUUACGAUUGUACUAAAUUCCUAUUCUGCAUGGACAGCUGUAAGAGACAGAGAGGAGAAGAUAAGAAAGAAUAGACAAGAAUGGCUACUCACCCUACUUCCAACAUUCACAUCCAACAUGGACAGAUGAGAUGUUUGGCAGAAUGGCAGAAAACAAGUAAGACAACAGCAACAAGGCCAACUACUAAGCCAAUCCCUACAUUACUUAUCUGUUGGGAAGUUCAUCCUUUUGAGAAGCAACUUAAGGUCUGUGACAGGUUCACAAAUGUAUUGAGUGGGUGGCUCAGUAAUUUCAUCCUCAGGCAUAGAUGCUGCCUUCACUCUGGUAUGGUGGGACCAUGGAGUUGUGCACCGUAAUUUUAGGGCAGAACAAAUGGUCAGGAUGAGUAGAUAAGGUCCUGUCCAUUUGGAAUCUAACUGGUCUUGUGGAUUUCCAGCCUUCCAGGUUUUCAAAUAAACCCACUUCCCACAGGGAGAAAGAUGUACAACCAUGUCAGAAGGGAAGGAUGUUCAGAUUGCUGUAUGGUGUAAAGCUGUGAUUAUUUUCCCCUCUCUGUAAGGCAUAUUCUCUUGGUCCACAUCCCUAAGGUUGGUCUUGGAGCUGGGUCCUUCAGGAAUGUGCCUCUUGUACAUGGGCUCAUAUGGACUCGACAUGAUCUUUCUUUUAGGGACUAUUCACAUUUUCACAAAUGUUGUGGGGAGAAAGGGGGUCAGGGUUGAUGAGUGUCUUGACAUAGCUUGGCUAAGUUUCUUUGGUAGGUUUGAUUUGUUCUACUAUUCCUGAGGAUUGUGGUUUCCAAGUGGGGUGUAAACCCAAUUUAAUUCCCAGAGCACUAAAGACUCCCUUAGUAACUUGGGAACAAAGGUGGGCCCACUGUCCUCUGGAUGGACUUGGGGAGCCCAAUCGAAGGGAUUAUUCUCUGGAGCAGGGCCUUAGAGGCUCCAAGGCAGUCUUGGUUCAGGUGGGAAGUACUUCCAUCCAGGUGUCAAAACCAGCAAAUAUCUAAGAUUUCCUUGUGCCCAGAACAUUGCUGUAAAGUCAGUUUGCCACUUGUGACCUGGAUAUAUGCCUCUAUGCCGGGUGGGGAUCACUCCAAUGACUUUGGGGUGGGUGAGAAUUGGGCUUAUUCUGAAGGCAGAUAGGUUGAGCUGCAACCACCUGUGGAAGGAGACUAGGGAAACUGGGGGCAGCCAUGGCUUUAUGAGCCAUUUCUAUAGGCCCCCCUACCCAUAAUGUGUCCUCUGGUGGGUUUCCUGAAUGGUACAGAGCAAGAGUUGAUGGAAGGAACAGCUGCCCAUGGCCAUUAUCCAUCCACCUUGGGUAUUCUGGUCUUUAAAAAUAGCCCCAUCUCAAAGCUUUUCCCCUCUCUGCUGGGGUGUAGGUGGGAGUGCAUGAGUUAGGGUCUGGGAGAGCUGGUAGAAGUGUCAUUUGAAGUCUGUCCCCAUCCUCUACUGCUUAUUUAGCUGUCAUGUCUGCUCUGUUAUUUCCUCUUACAAUUCCUACUUCUUUUUGAGGACCUAUGCAGUGAAUAACCCCUACCUCCUUUGGCAGGAGUAUAGCCUCCAGCAACACAUAAUCCCCUACCCAUCCCCCCAAUUCUUAAUCUGUUUAUUCCCUGAGGUCAGCAUUCCUCUCCCCUCCAGAUAACCCCAGGGGCAUGUAGGAUUGAACAGGCAUAGUUAGAGUCAAUAUAGAUAUUGACAACUUGCCCUUCUGGGCAGAACAGCUAGAGGACAAAGAUUUAGCAGUUUGGUCUAGUGCAUUAAAAAAAAAAAA
Molecule: long non-coding RNA, 5208 nt
Filed under: Sus scrofa (pig)
Lineage: Eukaryota; Metazoa; Chordata; Mammalia; Artiodactyla; Suidae
Description: lncRNA (ENSSSCG00015037355.1)
Source: RNAcentral